UAGACCAUUUUUGCCAAAUUUGGCAACUUUCCGGUCCGAAUUUAAUGGCGCAAAGUUGAAAUUCGGAUUCAGCGUCAAAAAUUACAUAGGAAUUGAUGAAAACAUUGCUACCCGGGAUUCUUGCAGGCUACAGCCCUUUUCAUGACUUACUUGCCUGGACUAUGAUGAGCCGAGCCGGUGCGAAAAUCGAGUCAGUGGCUGAGACUGCUGAGAGACGGAUUUCUUGCCAACUUUUGUGAAUGAUCGAAUGGCGCCACGUCCCCGUUAGAAGCUAUGGUAAAGAAUCGAUAGUGCGAUAUUCGAAUAGUCGCUUCGAUACGAUAUUCGAUAUUCGCCCAGCUGUAGGAUUCAGCAUGGCGGCCAUGAACAAGAACAAUGCAUUAUUUUCCCGCGCAAUCACGCCGGUGCCCGAAUUCUGGAUCGCUCAGUUAAUUGUAAUGGUUGAAUUUUGAAUUGUAAUUUAUUUAAUUAUUAGCAGUUGAAACUGUCAUCUUCUUUGCUCAUUUAGAAGUAUUUCAUCAAUUCGAGACGAAGAUUUAACCCCAGGGCCAACGAAAAUCAAGAAGAAGCCACGGGAAGUGCGGUGGUGAAACCUGUGAAACCGAAGUUCUGAGUGGAUCUAUACAGAAUGAACUGUUGGAAGAUGGCUUGGAACAUGCGGUCAUGCUGUACACGUGGCGAUGUUGCUCUGGAGCCAUACCGCAAUCAAAGUCCAAUGAGCAGCCGAACUGGGUGGAAAUCUAUGAAAAGACUAUUGAAGUAUUAGCUCCUGAAGUGAACAAGCUGCUUAAUAUCAUGUAUUUUCAGCAAAAAGCUAUUGAAGAUUUUGUGCAGAGGUAAAAAGGCUGUGCCAUGCUGUAAAGAGGAAGGAUUGCGCUGGAAGCCUACUUGCUCACCCUAGGAAAAUUUAUCAAUAUGUUUGCGGUGCUGGAUAAGCUGAAAAACAUGAAAUCCAGUGUGAAAAAUGAUUAUUCUACCCAUCACCGUGCCACCCAGUUCUUGAAAGUUAUGGCAGAUUCACUCACCCUGCUGGAGUCGCAGAAUUUAUUCAUGUUUCUCUCUACACAGAACAAAAUUCGAGACACAGUGAAAGAUAAUUUGGAAAAAAUAAUCGGUUACGAAGAGCGUCUGUCCUAUAUUGUCAAUCUGUGCUUGCACAUGUUCGAAACAAGAAUGCAGCUUACACCCACCGACAAGCGCAUGCUGGUUAAAGAGAAAUAAGAAUCAGUUCCGAAGAGCAGCCGCCAUCCACAGACACAUCGAGAACUGGUAAAUGAAAGUAUCUACAACACCAGAACUUGGCAACCACAAAAAUACAGGUUUUAUUUUAACUUUAUCGGAUGGAUAAAGAAAAGGAGGGCACAGUAAUUAAUUUCAAGAUGCAGUAGAUUAAACGGGAUGGCGGCUCUUCCUGCGUUGUUACCUUGCACGUUUUUUUUUUCAUUCACUGAUGCAGUAGAUUAAACGGGAUGGCGGUGUUCCUGCGACGAGCCUGAUAACUAAACGUUUGAAGCAGGCAGCCUAGAACACAUGUCUUGAAAGAAAAUGCCAAUGGACUACUAGACAAGGUACGAAUUUCAGCAUUCUGAUACAUGUUUCUCAACCAAAAUUUCACGUAGAACAUGAUACGCACAACGAAAAUUACCAAAAUCAACUCCUGACGAAGAUAUUUAAUGCUUCUUGAUGCGUGAAUUCAAACCACCCGCUCAUGAAAACUCAAUGCUCUACGUGAUUCACAUCGCGCGCUAAAUGUUUAUCAUGACAGUCUCUGCGAUUUAAAAAUCUUCAACUUCAAUCUUGACACUUUGGCUCAGCUAUAGCAAAUUACCAAUAGUUUGAACAACACAUGGUGGAAAAUAAACAUUGCUCGAUUGAGAAGCUCGUUGAAACC
This is a non-coding RNA of Bemisia tabaci, 1891 nucleotides long. NCBI's taxonomy places the organism in Eukaryota, Metazoa, Arthropoda, Insecta, Hemiptera, Aleyrodidae. The record is from RefSeq and is a predicted model, not a curated record.